UGCCAGCAGCCGCGGUAACACGGGGGGCGCAAGCGUUAUUCGGAUUUACUGGGCGUAAAGAGCGCGCAGGCGGUCAGGUAAGUCGAAUGUGAAAGCCCCCGGCUCAACUGGGGAAGGUCAUUCGAUACUGCUUGACUUGAAGAUGGGAGAGGGAAGCGGAAUUUCCGGUGUAGUGGUGAAAUGCGUAGAUAUCGGAAGGAACACCAGUGGCGAAGGCGGCUUUCUGGCCCAUUCUUGACGCUGAGGCGCGAAAGCUAGGGGAGCGAACGGGAUUAGAUA
RNAcentral lists this ribosomal RNA (279 nucleotides) under uncultured bacterium. Its description in RNAcentral is "partial 16S ribosomal RNA". It matches the Rfam family "Bacterial small subunit ribosomal RNA", at positions 506 to 784 of the family's 1533-position model. The record is from RNAcentral.